AUUGUUACUACCAAAGUACUACUUGUCAUUCACUGCUUUAUGUAUUGGUUUAUGUAUUAGUUCAUACUAGUUGAUUUCGGAAGCUUCUCUCUGUAUGGAGCCAGUUCAGCUCCAGCCGGCAAGCGGGUAGCCGCUCCUUAAUACAUUGUUACCCCUGGAGUCCAUCUCUUACUACGUCUCAAUCCUGCAGUUAUUACAUUGGCGACGAGGAUGGGAUUUAUUGGCAAAGUAGAAGAAUUUAACCAGGAUGCCGAGGUGUGGACUCAAUAUGUGGAGCGGCUGGAGCAUUUUUUGAAGCCAACGACAUUAUUGAAGAGAAAAAAAGAAAUCUACUUUAUUGGCUGUUUGUGGAGCAAGAACCUACGAAGUGAUAAGGUCACUCUGCCUACCAGAGAAGCCAGCCGACAAGUCGUACAGUGACCUCAAAGUGCUGUUGGAGAAUCACAUGUGCCCGAAACCGUCAGUAAUCAUGAAGCGCUUCAAAUUCAACUCACGAUUCAAGCAACCAACUGAAUCUGUGUCUUCUUACAUUACUGACCUUCGGAAAUUAGCGGAGCACUGUGCGUACGGAAACCAACUACCUGACAUGUUACGAGAUCGUCUGGUGUGUGGAAUUGACGACCGAAAAAUACAAGCAAGGUUGUUGGCAGAUGGGAAUUUGGACUUCAAGAAGGCAGAGGCAACUGCUCUGGCUAUGGAGGCUGCGGCAAAAGACACUGAAGACCUACAACAGGCUGGGGAGUACCGCAGCAGUCAAGUGAACAAGAUUCAGGAGAGGCGCGGGGAAGGAAGAAAAAUUCAAGAGACACCGUGGGUGCGAACGAAUCCUCGACCACAGUGCUACAGGUGUGGGGGUCCGCAUGUGGCUCCUAGCUGUCAUUUUGCACGUGCUACCUGUUUUAAAUGUAAGAAAGUGGGACACUUGGCAAGGAUGUGUCGAAAUAAAGCAGACAUGGAAAGGAAAAUGCACAAGAUUGAGGUGAAGAGGAGGACGGUGAGACAACUGGGGAAGAAUACACCUUGUAUACAGUGCGGGGGGCUCGUGAACCACCUGUGAUUGUUCACCCAGAAGUUAACAAGGUGGCUAUUCCCAUGGAAGUGGAUACUGGUGCUGCGGUGUCCAUUAUAAGUCAGAAAGUGUAUGAAGAAAGCUGGAAGGAUACGUGCAAGCCGGUGCUCGAGUAUUCCGACGUAGUGUUACGCACCUACAGUGGAGACUUAUUGAAAGUGAUGGGGGAAGUGAAUGUGGAGGUUAAUUAUAACAACCAGUCGAAAGUUCUGCCGUUGGUGGUAGUGGAUGGAGACGGCCCGAGUUUGAUGGGGAGAAACUGGUUGAAACAAAUUAAGCUAGACUGGGCUGCAGUUUAUAGUUGUCGGUCAGAGUGUGAUAAGGUCAUUCGCAGUUUUAGUAAUGUUUUCAAAGAGGAGUUGGGUCUCAUCAGAAACACAAAGGCGACCCUACAUGUGGAUAAGGAGGCACAACCCAAGUUUUUCAAAGCUCGCCCGUUGCCCUACGCCUUGAAAGACAAAGUGGAGCACGAGUUGGAACGGCUAGUUAACGAUGGAGUAAUUGAACCUGUGCAGUUCUCAGAGUGGGCGGCGCCAAUAGUCCCGAUAGUUAAGGGAGACAAAUCCAUACGUAUUUGUGGGGACUACAAGAUGACUGUGAACCGCGUGUCUAGAGUGGACAGUUACCCGAUACCGAAGGUUGAGGAUUUAUUAGCAAAUUUGUCAGGAGGGAAGACUUUUUCAAAAUUAGACCUGUCACAUGCUUAUUCACAACUACCACUGGAAGAGGAAUCAAAAAAAUAUGUAACGAUAAAUACACAUAAGGGGUUAUUCGUAUAUAAUCGCUUACCAUACGAGUCUCCUCGGCGCCAGGAAUAUUCCAGAGAGUUAUGGAGAACUUACUGCAAGGUAUCCCUCACGUGGUGGUGUACUUGGAUGAUGUAUUAGUGACAGGGAAGACGGAAAGGGAACAUCUGAGUAACCUGACAGAAGUUUUGAGGCGUAUGGAUGACGCGGGGGUGAAACUGAAGUUAAAGAAGUGUGUGUUUCAGGCACCAGAAGUAACAUAUUUAGGACAUAAAAUUAAUGCGGAAGGGCUGCACCCGUCCGAGGACAAGGUUCAAGCUGUUAUAAAGGCACCCACACCAAGCAACAUCACUGAACUAAAGGCGUAUUUGGGGCUUGUUAAUUAUUAUGGCAGAUACAUUCCUAAUCUCUCCACAGUAUUUGCUCCCUUGUACAGAUUACUGCAACGGGACGUGGAAUGGCAAUGGGGACCAGAACAGCAGCGUGCCCUUGCCACAUCGAAACAACUGUUGGCGAGCUCCAAGGUGUUGGUGCAUUAUGACAGCAGCAAGCCCCUCCUGCUCACCUGUGACGCGUCACCAUACGGAUUGGGAGCAGUCCUUGCACACCGUUUGGAGUCUGGAGAGGAGAAACCGAUUGCUUUCGCAUCCCGAUCCUGAGCAUAGCUGAACGCAAGUAUGCUCAGGUAGAGAAAAGAAGGUUUGGCAAUAAUAUUUGGUGUUAAGAAAUUUCAUAAUUACUUGUAUGGCCGCCAUUUUGAGAUCAUUUCAGACCAUCAGCCCUUAAAAGUCUGUUUAAUGAAACUCGCCCAGUGCCUGUGAUGGCAUCAAGUCGUAUCCAACGCUGGGCGCUAACACUAUCAGCGUAUGAAUACACUAUCACCCACAAACCAGGGAAAAAUAUAGUACAUGCUGAUGGGUUGAGUCGCCUUCCUCUCCCUGAAUUCCCCAAGGUGACUCCAGUCCCCGGUGAUGUGGUAUGCGUGUUGGAGAGACUAGACCAGACACCCGUCACGUCGAGAGAGUUAAGGCAAUGGACGGAUAAGGACUCAACACUCUCGAAGGUAAGAGAUCACAUUCUGUACGGUUGGCCUGGACAUAUAGCAGAGGAAACACUUCAGCCUUUUUUUAGAAGGAGGCACGAAUUAAGUGUCCAAGAUGGAAUAAUUUUGUGGGGAUCAAGAGUGGUGGUGCCUCAGAUAGCUAGAAAAAAUGUGUUGGCUGAGCUACAUGCAACGCAUCCAGGAGUCUCGCGCAUGAAAGGUAUUGCGCGUAGUCAUGUGUGGUGGCCCAAUAUAGAUAAAGAUGUUGAGUCAACAGUACAACUAUGUUCACAGUGCCAACAAGUGAGAAAUCUUCCCCCAGACGCUCCUUUGCAGCCAUGGGAGUGGCCACUAAAACCCUGGUCCAGGUUACAUUUGGAUUACGCUGGGCCGUUUAUGGGUGCAGUUGCUAGAUGGGAGGACUGUACGACGUCAUCUCGACUAUGUGAGGAGAAGAGUAAGCAUAGAGGGCGAGACGGUUAACGCAGAUGAUGCCAUACCACCUCCCAUGGACCUCACAAAUGGAGCAGGAAUUCAGAAACAUGGUUCGGCACCGGCAGGCAGCGUGUCGCCCCUAAAGGCAGGAGUUUCGAAGCAGUCCGGAGCACACAACAGCAACGCGCCGGAUCAAAUUCAAGAACGAGAGUUAACCUCAAGUCAAGAGUUCGAACCUGGAUUGCCGCCACAACAGCAGCCGUUGGAGAGGAAACACUGCGCCGUUCUGAGAGACUGCGCCAGAAGCCAGAUCGUUUGCAGAUAGCUUGGAAAUAAAAUGUUAGGUCUCUUGCUUCACUUGUGUUAACUAUUUUAAUUGUUGGAGUUUUUGUAUUACUUUUGCUAGUUUUAGUUACUAUGUUUAUUUUGUUUUUUGUCUCGUCUUUGCGGGUUUUAGCGUUUCUUAUAACUUGUAUCGAAUAUUUUUUUUUCUCUAGUCUUUCUAAUUGAUAAGUUUUAGUAUCUUCUGUAUCUUUUUUAACAUUUUGGUUGUAAACUUGAUUUUAUGGUUUCUAACCUGAGUUUUUUUUAAAAAAGGGAGGAGUGUUAUAAUUGUUACUACCAAAGUACUACUUGUCAUUCACUGCUUUAUGUAUUGGUUUAUGUAUUAGUUCAUACUAGUUGAUUUCGGAAGCUUCUCUCUGUAUGGAGCCAGUUCAGCUCCAGCCGGCAAGCGGGUAGCCGCUCCUUAAUACAUUGUUACCCCUGGAGUCCAUCUCUUACUACGUCUCAAUCCUGCAGUUAUUACA
RNA transcript from Scylla paramamosain (green mud crab), 4101 nucleotides. RefSeq lists it as uncharacterized. Lineage: Eukaryota; Metazoa; Arthropoda; Malacostraca; Decapoda; Portunidae. The record is from RefSeq and is a predicted model, not a curated record. The transcript is spliced from 2 exons.